RNAcentral lists this transfer RNA (73 nucleotides) under Balanoglossus clavigerus. RNAcentral describes it as "transfer RNA-Lys". It matches the Rfam family "tRNA". Rfam says of the family: Transfer RNA (tRNA) molecules are approximately 80 nucleotides in length. Lineage: Eukaryota; Metazoa; Hemichordata; Enteropneusta; Ptychoderidae. The record is from RNAcentral.
CCUUAAGAAGCUAAUUUGGGUAAGCGUUAGACUCUUAAUCUAAAGUUUGGUAACUACCACCUACCCUUAAGGA